RNAcentral lists this ribosomal RNA (465 nucleotides) under uncultured bacterium. RNAcentral's name for it is "partial 16S ribosomal RNA". It matches the Rfam family "Bacterial small subunit ribosomal RNA", at positions 28 to 507 of the family's 1533-position model. The record is from RNAcentral.
GACGAACGCUGGCGGCGUGCUUAACACAUGCAAGUCGUACGGUAAGGCCCUUUCGGGGUUACACGAAUGGCGAACGGGUGAGUAACACGUGAGUAACCUUCCCACAACUUUGUGCUAACGCUAGGAAACUGGUGCUAAUACUGUAUAUUUUCUCCUGCUGCAUGGUGGGGGUUGGGAAGCUCCGGCGGUUGUGGAUGGACUCGCGGCCGAUCAGCUUGUUGGUCGGAUAGUGGCCCACCAAGGCGGCGACCGGUAGCCGGCCUGCGAGGGUGACCGGCCACAUUGGGACUGAGAUACGGCCCAGACUCCUACGGGAGGCAGCAGUGGGGAGUAUUGCACAAUGGGAGCAAGCCUGCCGCAGCAACGCCGCGUGCGGGAUGACGGCCUUCGGGUUGUAAGCCGAGUUCAGCAGGGACGAAGCUUUUUGUGACGGUACCUGAAGAAGAAGCACCGGCUAACUACGUG